Molecule: long non-coding RNA, 313 nt
Filed under: Setaria viridis
Lineage: Eukaryota; Viridiplantae; Streptophyta; Magnoliopsida; Poales; Poaceae
Description: long non-coding RNA (SVIR_LNC000696)
Source: RNAcentral
UGGAGUUUCUUAAGUUCUAGGCCUGUUUACCUAAUAUUCUGGACAUUCUAUCUUUACUAAACACAUGUCUAUCGUAUCAAAUGAUUCUACAAAUUUUUUUUGCUUCUAUGGCAUUUUCUUAUUUACUUUGUUCUGCUUUAAUUUUUUUCCAUGACCAUAUAUCAUUUGUAAAUGGAUUAUUUUACUAAAGAAAUCUAACUUUUCCCGAAAAUUCCCCCGGAAAACUUUUCUUACUCACCCCCUCUCUACCCCUUCUCACGACUACUGGGCCCCCACGGCACGGACCCCACUUUUCCUAUUCACUCUACCCACC